RNAcentral lists this ribosomal RNA (461 nucleotides) under uncultured bacterium. RNAcentral describes it as "SSU rRNA". It matches the Rfam family "Bacterial small subunit ribosomal RNA", at positions 26 to 518 of the family's 1533-position model. The record is from RNAcentral.
AGAAUCAACGCUGGCGGCGUGCCUAACACAUGCAAGUCGCACGAGAAAGGGGAGCAAUCCCUGAGUAAAGUGGCGCACGGGUGAGUAACACGUGAAUCAUCUACCUCCGAGUGGGGAAUAACCUAGAGAAAUCUGGGCUAAUACCGCAUAACACUUACGAGUCAAAGCAGCAAUGCGCUUGGAGAGGAGUUCGCGGCCGAUUAGUUAGUUGGCGGGGUAAUGGCCCACCAAGACGAUGAUCGGUAUCCGGCCUGAGAGGGCGCACGGACACACUGGAACUGAAACACGGUCCAGACUCCUACGGGAGGCAGCAGUGGGGGAAUUUUGCGCAAUGGGGGAAACCCUGACGCAGCAACGCCGCGUGGAGGAUGAAAUAUCUUGGUAUGUAAACUCCUUUCGAUGGGGAAGAUUAUGACGGUACCCAUAGAAGAAGCCCCGGCUAACUUCGUGCCAGCAGCCGC